GUCGAGCGGUAAGGCCCUUUCGGGGGUACACGAGCGGCGAACGGGUGAGUAACACGUGAGUAAUCUGCCCUUCACUUCGGGAUAAGCCUCGGAAACGGGGUCUAAUACCGGAUACGACACUUUUACGCAUGUAAUGGGUGUGGAAAGUUUUUUCGGUGGGGGAUGUGCUCGCGGCCUAUCAGCUUGUUGGUGGGGUAAUGGCCUACCAAGGCUUCGACGGGUAGCCGGCCUGAGAGGGUGACCGGCCACACUGGGACUGAGACACGGCCCAGACUCCUACGGGAGGCAGCAGUGGGGAAUAUUGGACAAUGGGCGGAAGCCUGAUCCAGCAACGCCGCGUGAGGGAUGACGGCCUUCGGGUUGUAAACCUCUUUCAGCGGGGACGAAGCGCAAGUGACGGUACCCGCAGAAGAAGCACCGGCCAACUACGUGCCAGCAGCCGCGGUAAUACGUAGGGUGCGAGCGUUGUCCGGAAUUAUUGGGCGUAAAGGGCUCGUAGGCGGUUUGUCGCGUCGGGAGUGAAAACGCCGGGCUUAACUCGGUGCUUGCUUUCGAUACGGGCAGACUAGAGGCAUGCAGGGGAGAACGGAAUUCCUGGUGUAGCGGUGAAAUGCGCAGAUAUCAGGAGGAACACCGGUGGCGAAGGCGGUUCUCUGGGCAU
RNAcentral lists this ribosomal RNA (661 nucleotides) under uncultured Actinomycetes bacterium. RNAcentral describes it as "bacterial SSU rRNA". It matches the Rfam family "Bacterial small subunit ribosomal RNA", at positions 61 to 736 of the family's 1533-position model. Lineage: Bacteria; Bacillati; Actinomycetota; Actinomycetes. The record is from RNAcentral.